Molecule: long non-coding RNA, 284 nt
Filed under: Gallus gallus (chicken)
Lineage: Eukaryota; Metazoa; Chordata; Aves; Galliformes; Phasianidae
Source: RNAcentral
CAGAAAUGCUAAAUCACAGUUUGAAACAGUGAUUGAGCACCUGGUGGGAAGGCAGGGCUAACCCAGGUGCAUGCAAUACAUCUGAGUGACCAGAAGGGAUGGAUCCUGCCUCCACCCCUUUCCAGACCUCAUUUGAGUGUUGGCAGUGGAUUCAUAACUAUUUUGCUCGAGGUCCUUGUGUAUCUGAGGCCUUCUAAAGAUGCUGAAGAGCACAUACCCCUGCACAGAUGCCUGUGGGACUUCAUUCCUUUCUGUAAAACUGCCCUUUUAUUUCUACCCUUUAU